CGAAUCGAAGGAUCUGAAACGUCGGCCG
This 28-nucleotide small RNA is filed under the name Bombyx mori (domestic silkworm). Its description in RNAcentral is "ovarian small RNA-14144". The record is from RNAcentral. Lineage: Eukaryota; Metazoa; Arthropoda; Insecta; Lepidoptera; Bombycidae.